RNAcentral lists this ribosomal RNA (253 nucleotides) under uncultured bacterium. Its description in RNAcentral is "partial 16S ribosomal RNA". It matches the Rfam family "Bacterial small subunit ribosomal RNA", at positions 524 to 776 of the family's 1533-position model. The record is from RNAcentral.
UACGAAGGGGGCUAGCGUUGUUCGGAAUCUCUGGGCGUAAAGCGCACGUAGGCGGAUCUUUAAGUCAGGGGUGAAAUCCCGAGGCUCAACCUCGGAACUGCCUUUGAUACUGGGGAUCUCGAGUCCGGGAGAGGUGAGUGGAACUGCGAGUGUAGAGGUGAAAUUCGUAGAUAUUCGCAAGAACACCAGUGGCGAAGGCGGCUCACUGGCCCGGAACUGACGCUGAGGUGCGAAAGCGUGGGGAGCAAACAGG